RNAcentral lists this ribosomal RNA (253 nucleotides) under uncultured bacterium. Its description in RNAcentral is "partial 16S ribosomal RNA". It matches the Rfam family "Bacterial small subunit ribosomal RNA", at positions 524 to 776 of the family's 1533-position model. The record is from RNAcentral.
UACAGGGGGUGCAAACGUUGCUCGGAAUUAUUGGGCGUAAAGCGCGCGUAGGCGGCCACUUAAGUCGGAUGUGAAAGCCCCUGGCUCAACUGGGGAAGUGCACCCGAAACUGAGCGGCUUGAAUGCAAAAGAGGGUCGCGGAAUUCCCGGUGUAGAGGUGAAAUGCGCAGAUAUCAGGAGGAACACCGGUGGCGAAGGCGGUGCUCUGGGCCGGUACUGACGCUGAGGAGCGAAAGCGUGGGUAGCAAACAGG